Eptesicus fuscus (big brown bat) is the source of this 244-nucleotide long non-coding RNA. RefSeq lists it as uncharacterized. NCBI's taxonomy places the organism in Eukaryota, Metazoa, Chordata, Mammalia, Chiroptera, Vespertilionidae. The transcript is spliced from 4 exons. The record is from RefSeq and is a predicted model, not a curated record.
CUUUCUUGCAGCUGUAGAACUCAUGGCAGCUUGCUUCUUCAAGGCCAGUUGCAUAAUACUCUCCAGAUCCCUCCAUGCUGUCUCAAAGGGAUUUCAUGCCUAAGAUUGACACUUCACAAUGUAUUUAUCAACACGGACCAGCUUAUUUUCAAUCAAUAUGUUAGGAGAGUACUUAUCUCCACACUAUCAGUAUGUGCAUGCUCAUGAACAAAAAUUCUUCAACCCUGCAUCUUUUCAAGACUAU